AUUGGGCUAGAGUGUGGGAGAGGAAGAUGGAAUUAGUUGUGUAGGGGUAAAAUCCGUAGAGAUAACUAGGAAUACCAAAAGCGAAGGCAAUCUUCUGGAACACUACUGACGCUGAGGCGCGAAGGCGUGGGGAGCAAACAGGAUUAGAUACCCUGGUAGUCCACGCAGUAAACGAUGAAUGUUAGUCGUCGGGUAGCUAGUCUAUUCGGUGAUGCAGCUAACGCAUUAAACAUUCCGCCUGGGGAGUACGGUCGCAAGAUUAAAACUCAAAGGAAUAGACGGGGACCCGCACAAGUGGUGGAGCUUGUGGUUUAAUUCGAAGAUACGCGAAGAACCUUACCUAGCCUUGACAUAUAUUAGAACAGACCAGAGAUGGACUGGUGCCUUCGGGAGCUUUUAUACAGGUGCUGCACGGCUGUCGUCAGCUCGUGUCGUGAGAUGUUGGGUUAAGUCCCGCAACGAGCGCAACCCUCGUCACUAGUUACUAACGGUUCGGCCGAGGACUCUAGUGAGACUGCCUUCGCAAGGAGGAGGAAGGUGAGGACGACGUCAAGUCAUCAUGGCCCUUACGGCUAGGGCAACACACGUGCUACAAUGGCCAGGACAAUGAGACGCGAUACCGCGAGGUGGAGCAAAUCUAUAAACCUGGUCUCAGUUCGGAUUGUAGUCUGCAACUCGACUACAUGAAGCUGGAAUCACUAGUAAUCG
Molecule: ribosomal RNA, 708 nt
Filed under: uncultured bacterium
Lineage: Bacteria
Description: bacterial SSU rRNA
Rfam family: Bacterial small subunit ribosomal RNA
Source: RNAcentral